UGAUAUGAGUGUGCACGAACCGCACGAA
This 28-nucleotide small RNA is filed under the name Bombyx mori (domestic silkworm). RNAcentral's name for it is "ovarian small RNA-32545". Lineage: Eukaryota; Metazoa; Arthropoda; Insecta; Lepidoptera; Bombycidae. The record is from RNAcentral.